RNAcentral lists this ribosomal RNA (613 nucleotides) under uncultured Brachybacterium sp. Its description in RNAcentral is "bacterial SSU rRNA". It matches the Rfam family "Bacterial small subunit ribosomal RNA", at positions 263 to 886 of the family's 1533-position model. The record is from RNAcentral. Lineage: Bacteria; Bacillati; Actinomycetota; Actinomycetes; Micrococcales; Dermabacteraceae.
GGAUCUAAAGACGAUGACGGGUAGCCGGCCUGAGAGGGCGACCGGCCACACUGGGACUGAGACACGGCCCAGACUCCUACGGGAGGCAGCAGUGGGGAAUAUUGCACAAUGGGCGAAAGCCUGAUGCAGCGACGCAGCGUGAGGGAUGACUGCCUUCGGGUUGUAAACCUCUUUCAGUAGGGAAGAAGCGAAAGUGACGGUACCUGCAGAAGAAGCGCCGGCUAACUACGUGCCAGCAGCCGCGGUAAUACGUAGGGCGCAAGCGUUAUCCGGAAUUAUUGGGCGUAAAGAGCUUGUAGGUGGCUUGUCGCGUCUGCCGUGAAAACCCGAGGCUCAACCUCGGGCGUGCGGUGGGUACGGGCAGGCUAGAGUGUGGUAGGGGAGACUGGAACUCCUGGUGUAGCGGUGAAAUGCGCAGAUAUCAGGAAGAACACCGAUGGCGAAGGCAGGUCUCUGGGCCAUUACUGACACUGAGAAGCGAAAGCAUGGGUAGCGAACAGGAUUAGAUACCCUGGUAGUCCAUGCCGUAAACGUUGGGCACUAGAUGUGGGGGACAUUCCACGUUUUCCGCGUCGUAGCUAACGCAUUAAGUGCCCCGCCUGGGGAGUACGGA